GACCUGGGCACUCUCCUCGCCCCGCCUCUCGCCGGAAGCGCUCUGCCCAGGCCCCGCCCCCCGGAAGCCCUGCUUCUAAUCGGGCGCUAGUAGUUUCCAUAGGACCUGGAAGUGGAGACUGGGGCGUGAAGGUCUUUCGACAGAGUGAGCUUCUCCUUUCUGCUGAAAAGUUUCGCUGCGGGCCUCUCCUACUACCUCCUCAGGGUCUUGUGAGUGACUACGGACCUAAAAUCCCCACACCCGCCCCUGAAUUUACCCCAGGGUCAACAUCUAAAGAGAAUUGCUACCUGGGUAAGAAGCCCGGAAGAGGAGGAAGAGGAAAGAAAAGGAGUCAGAAAUGGCUCUUUCUCAGCCACUGUUGGGGACUUCCCUGGUGGUCCAGUGGUUAA
This 389-nucleotide long non-coding RNA is filed under the name Delphinapterus leucas (beluga whale). Its description in RNAcentral is "lncRNA (ENSDLEG00000005887.1)". The record is from RNAcentral. Lineage: Eukaryota; Metazoa; Chordata; Mammalia; Artiodactyla; Monodontidae.